CGCCUAGGGCUCAGGCUAUGGAAGAGAAAACCCCUGGGGGGCCUCCCUGGGAAACUCCCUCCUCUACAUCAACAUCUGCAGAGGCCCAGCAGGCCAAGAGCACACAGCGCUUUCUAGAACCUGCUGGGAUAAUGGCCAGGCCCAGCAGCCCAGCCCAGUCCAGCCCUGCCUCAGGAAUGGUCACCACUAGCACACAGACUCUGAAUCCCACCAAGGCACCAGCCCCCAAAGACCUGCAAACAGGUGAGGCCCCUGCAGAGUGGCCACCCACCCCUGGGAAACAACCAGCCCCGGUGCCAGCUCCCCUCCAAGCAUCAAGGUGUCCUCACCCGCUCCUCAAAGAGGGGACCAUGACAGCUGCUCCUGUCACCCUGGCUAUGCAGAAGCUCAACCCCUGCCUGAUGGAGCUGUGUCGCUUCCUCCAGCGAUGCCUCUGUGGGAGCCAGAGAAAGAAUCCUACGACAGAGAUGAUGAGGUAACCUGGGCUACAUGCUCCUUUUCACAUCUGGUACUUACAGGCUUCUUAUGCUGUGCAUCUUCUCUG
Molecule: long non-coding RNA, 544 nt
Filed under: Fukomys damarensis (Damara mole-rat)
Lineage: Eukaryota; Metazoa; Chordata; Mammalia; Rodentia; Bathyergidae
Description: lncRNA (ENSFDAG00000031619.1)
Source: RNAcentral